ACACAUGCAAGUCGAGCGGAAACGACUUAUCUGAACCUUCGGGGAACGUUAACGGCGUCGAGCGGCGGACGGGUGAGUAAUGCCUAGGAAAUUGCCUUGAUGUGGGGGAUAACCAUUGGAAACGAUGGCUAAUACCGCAUAAUGCCUACGGGCCAAAGAGGGGGACCUUCGGGCCUCUCGCGUCAAGAUAUGCCUAGGUGGGAUUAGCUAGUUGGUGAGGUAAUGGCUCACCAAGGCGACGAUCCCUAGCUGGUCUGAGAGGAUGAUCAGCCACACUGGAACUGAGACACGGUCCAGACUCCUACGGGAGGCAGCAGUGGGGAAUAUUGCACAAUGGGCGAAAGCCUGAUGCAGCCAUGCCGCGUGUAUGAAGAAGGCCUUCGGGUUGUAAAGUACUUUCAGUUGUGAGGAAGGGGGUGUCGUUAAUAGCGGCAUCUCUUGACGUUAGCAACAGAAGAAGCACCGGCUAACUCCGUGCCAGCAGCCGCGGUAAUACGGAGGGUGCGAGCGUUAAUCGGAAUUACUGGGCGUAAAGCGCAUGCAGGUGGUUCAUUAAGUCAGAUGUGAAAGCCCGGGGCUCAACCUCGGAACUGCAUUUGAAACUGGUGAACUAGAGUACUGUAGAGGGGGGUAGAAUUUCAGGUGUAGCGGUGAAAUGCGUAGAGAUCUGAAGGAAUACCAGUGGCGAAGGCGGCCC
Molecule: ribosomal RNA, 697 nt
Filed under: Vibrio splendidus
Lineage: Bacteria; Pseudomonadati; Pseudomonadota; Gammaproteobacteria; Vibrionales; Vibrionaceae
Description: bacterial SSU rRNA
Rfam family: Bacterial small subunit ribosomal RNA
Source: RNAcentral